GUCCAUUUGUGGGCUGCCCCACACUUGUGGGGCUGGAGGGGGUCGGUCCUGCCGUGGGUCACACCGUGGUCCCGCUGUGGGUCGCUCCGUGGGGCUCCUGUGGGUCCCGCCGUGGGUCUGACCCACAUCUUCCUGUGGCUGCCGCUGUGGGUCAGUCCGUGUCCUACUUGUGGGUCAGACCCCCCACUUAUGGGUCAGUCCGUGUCCUACUUGUGGGUCAGUCCGUGUCCUACUUGUGGGUCAGACCCCCCACUUGUGGGUCAGUCCGGGUCCUACUUGUGGGUCAGACCCCCCACUUAUGGGUCAGUCCGUGUCCUACUUGUGGGUCAGACCCCCCACUUGUGGGUCACCCCCUGCCCCACUGCCAGCUCAGUCCGUUCUCCGCCCCGUCCCUCGCCGUCCCUCCGUGGGUCCGGGCCUCCGUGGGGCGGCGGCGCCGUGGGGCAGCGGUGGGGGGGUCACUGUGGGGCGCCGUGGGGCGGCGCCGUGGGGCAGAGCUCGAGGGAAAGGGCCUCGAAAGCCUCCAACAUGGCGGCGCGGACCCGCUCCGUCAGCGCCGGGACGUCCGUGGGGCCCAGCCCCCGCGUGGGGAGGGGGGGCAGCACCUGGAUGACGCACUCACCUGGGGGGCAGGAUGUGGGGCUGACCCAUAGCGACCCAUAGAUCCGCCCCAUAGCGACCCAUAGCUGCCCCAUAGCGACCCAUAGCGACCCAUAGAUCCAGCCCCUAAGGCUGCCCCAUAGCGCCCCUGCCCCCCAACCUCGUCGUCAGCAACAACCAGAGGUCCCCUGAACUCCUGGGUAGGGCUGCCCCAUAGAUCCGCCCCAUAGCGACCCA
This 837-nucleotide long non-coding RNA is filed under the name Calidris pygmaea (Spoon-billed sandpiper). RNAcentral describes it as "lncRNA (ENSCPGG00000002647.1)". The record is from RNAcentral. Lineage: Eukaryota; Metazoa; Chordata; Aves; Charadriiformes; Scolopacidae.